RNAcentral lists this ribosomal RNA (262 nucleotides) under uncultured bacterium. RNAcentral describes it as "partial 16S ribosomal RNA". It matches the Rfam family "Bacterial small subunit ribosomal RNA", at positions 1114 to 1372 of the family's 1533-position model. The record is from RNAcentral.
GUUGCCAGCGCGUCAUGCCGGGGACUCUAAAGGGACUGCCUUCGCAAGAAGUGAGGAAGGCGGGGACGACGUCAAGUCAUCAUGGCCUUUACGCCUAGGGCUACACACGUGCUACAAUGGCCGGUACAGAGGGUCGCCACCCAGCGAUGGGGCGCCAAUCUCAAAAAGCCGGUCUCAGUUCGGAUCGGAGUCUGCAACGUUGACGUCCGUGAAGCCGGAAUCGCUAGUAAUCGCGCAUCAGCAAUGGCGAGGUGAAUACGUU